Molecule: ribosomal RNA, 192 nt
Filed under: Uromyces appendiculatus
Lineage: Eukaryota; Fungi; Basidiomycota; Pucciniomycetes; Pucciniales; Pucciniaceae
Description: 5.8S rRNA
Rfam family: 5.8S ribosomal RNA (bases 1-154)
About the family: 5.8S ribosomal RNA (5.8S rRNA) is a component of the large subunit of the eukaryotic ribosome.
Source: RNAcentral
AACUUUUAACAAUGGAUCUCUAGGCUCUCAUAUCGAUGAAGAACACAGUGAAAUGUGAUAAGUAAUGUGAAUUGCAGAAUUCAGUGAAUCAUUGAAUCUUUGAACGCACCUUGCAUCUUUUGGUAUUCCAAAAGGUAUGCCUGUUUGAGUGUCAUGAAAAUCUCUCACCAAAUUAAUUUUUGGUGGAUGUUG